GCAAGAUCCAGACUUCUAGCUCCAAGGUCAAGUUCACACAUAGAGGUCAAAGGUUAACAUGGUCUUGCUUCUUGUCCUGUCCAUUGCUCUGCCAUUUGUCAAGGAAUUUUAAAAUCACUUAGCACAAAUAUUCCUCAUUAAGAGGCAAUGUGUCAUGUGCAAGACCAGGCCCCUGUUUCAACGGUCAAGGUCACAGUUAGAUGUUAACUUGACUUAAACAGUCACAAAAACAAAUUAUUUUGUUGCAUGUAAGACUCAGACAUCUAAUGCAAGGUCAGUGUCACCUAUUUGGAUUUUUGGUAAUUUUUGUCUGCUCAGUAACUUUUUGAUGCAGUGGUGUUGGUAUAAAUAUUCACCAUUACAAGACAUAUACAUAUACAAAUUUGAGGUCACAGGCACCCCAGUUAAUUUCUUUUUUUCUGUUUGUACAUGAAAUUACUUCCCUUUUUAUGAUAAAGUACAAUACAUAUGUAUUUAUAUCAGUUUUCCCAGUACAUUUGUUAUUUAAAAAUGAAAGUAAGAUAAUUUGUAUUGAUAGACUGUUUAGUACUAUAUAAACGUCAUGUAUUUCACUUGUUUAUUAAUUACCUCCCUUUAAUAUGACAAAAUAUUUCAUUUUAUUUUAAUUAAUUUCUUUUCUUAUUUAAAGAUAAAAAUACAGUAAACCAUUACAAUUCAUAUAUAAGCAUUUGAAAGCAUUCACAAAUUAUAGAUUUCCAGACAUUUUCAAACUACAUAACGUCUGUGUAAAUUUUCUGAUAUAUAGUUUUGAUUUACAUACAUCUAUAGUAUAGAAGAAGACAUUGUGAUUGUAUGCAAUAUGUUUUGUGAAAAAUGUCCCUAAGCCAGGGACCUUUGCUACAAAUUUUUGUUGUUUUCUACAAGUAACUGAUAACUUCUUCACAUGAUCUAGGGAGUAAACUUAACCUUGAUGUUUUGCCUUACAGACAGCCAAACAUCUUCUCCAAGAUUCCAUGCAGCAACCUUCUGAUAGAAAGAUGUACCUGUCGUGCAAAGGUAUAAGCUGGCUUGGUAACAGGUUUGAGACAACGACAAUGGCCUUUAGACAAUUUUGGCUAGGCCACAAAAGUUGCCCUUUGGCAGUCUGAUGAUAAAGUGACUUGAAACAGUCAAACUAAGCAGAACAUGCCAGGUUCUGACGUAAAAAGGCGAAAUCACAAAAAAAAAUUCUGGGCCUUCACCUGGACACAGUCGCACAACUUUAGCCGAUACAACUAGUACGUCAAAGUCACAGUCCACUUCCGGCGGAACUAACCGAUCUUUCUGGGAAACAUCAGACUCUGGAGUGCCCUCUAGUAGUUCGUCUGCAUUCCUGAAAAGCUGGUGCCAAAGCGCCACCUGGAAGAAUGAGACAAACGUCACAGUCUAACCUCGGGGAAAUCAACCGCAAACUCAAUCAUUUAGUAAACCCAAUGCAAAUUUUUGAAUAUCAACUCUUUGAUACUGAAGACAAUAUACUGUUGUUGCCUGGGCAUCUCAACCAUGCCGGAACUGGUUCGCCCUCCUACAACUAUUCAAGCCUUCAAAUUAUAUCGCGAGAUUUCUCGAUAAAAUGUGUCUUCACAUAUAAGUGACUGUGCUCAUGUUUUUUCUGACUGGUGAAAACUUGUUUUGAGAUUUACUACUUGCAAGUUUUAAAUAAUUCACUCGGGCUACAUGCUGGUGAAGUUAUUACGCUCGACGUGUAACUGCUGAUUGUGUAUAAAUUGUGUUCUUUUAUGGAAAAGAAUAGGGCGAAUGUAAAUAUCUAGAAAUGAUGCUUUCAGAUUCAUUGUUGAUAAAAAAAGUUUACGUAAUAGCAUGUUGAAAACUAAAUUUCACAUUGCACAACUGUCUUGAUUCGUUGGCACAUAUUCUGGGUUGUUGUUUUUUCGCUUUGAUGAAUAGUUUAAUUGCUAUCAUUUUCGUCAAAAUUUAAAUCUCCCACAAGACGUAUUACCACUUCCGGUUUUGGACCAUAUACAGUUCAUAAACAAAGUAGCAUGACAACCUAUCAAUUUGCGCCAUACAUGAAAGAAGAAAUAGUUCUGUCGUAUUUGAUCUAUAAUUUACAGUAACAGACAAAUUAGCCUGAGAGUCAAAAUAAUUUAUAGCUAAACCAUGUUUUCAUACUGUAUAUACACUCUGGCUGCACCCUCGUGAAAUUAUUACACCCGAUGCAUUACCGCCUAUUAUUUAUAAAUAGUGUUUCAUAGAAGAACAUGGAUUUGCUAGAUUAUUUCUUGAAAAGCUAUGAAUAAGAUACACUACAUUACUGACGCGAAUAAGUAAGGUGGAUUUAUAAUGUUGCCCUGUAUUAAAUUCUGUUAAACGUACAUUAUAAGUGAUAAGUCGAUAUAUAAAUCUAUGUAUUAUACAUGUCUUGAUUAUAUUUGAUAAAAUACAUAUAUGAAUCUU
Long non-coding RNA from Mercenaria mercenaria, 2418 nucleotides. RefSeq lists it as uncharacterized. The record is from RefSeq and is a predicted model, not a curated record. The transcript has 5 exons. Lineage: Eukaryota; Metazoa; Mollusca; Bivalvia; Venerida; Veneridae.